This 500-nucleotide ribosomal RNA is filed under the name uncultured Glomeromycotina. RNAcentral describes it as "partial small subunit ribosomal RNA". It matches the Rfam family "Eukaryotic small subunit ribosomal RNA", at positions 591 to 1092 of the family's 1831-position model. The record is from RNAcentral. Lineage: Eukaryota; Fungi; Glomeromycota.
CCAAUAGCGUAUAUUAAAGUUGUUGCAGUUAAAAAGCUCGUAGUUGAAUUUCGGGGUCAAUAGGUUGGUCAUGCCACUGGUAUGUACUGGUCUCACUGAUUCCUCCUUCCUGAUGAACUGUAAUGCCAUUAAUUUGGUGUUGCAGGGAAUCUGGACUGUUACUUUGAAAAAAUUAGAGUGUUUAAAGCAGGUUAACGCCUGAAUACAUUAGCAUGGAAUAAUGAAAUAGGACGUUCGAUCCUAUUUUGUUGGUUUCUAGGAUUGACGUAAUGAUUAAUAGGGAUAGUUGGGGGCAUUAGUAUUCAAUUGUCAGAGGUGAAAUUCUUGGAUUUAUUGAAGACUAACUACUGCGAAAGCAUUUGCCAAGGAUGUUUUCAUUAAUCAAGAACGAAAGUUAGGGGAUCGAAGACGAUCAGAUACCGUCGUAGUCUUAACCAUAAACUAUGCCGACUAGGGAUCGGAUGAUGUUAAUUUUUUAAUGACUCAUUCGGCGCCUUACG